RNAcentral lists this ribosomal RNA (273 nucleotides) under uncultured Legionella sp. RNAcentral's name for it is "partial 16S ribosomal RNA". It matches the Rfam family "Bacterial small subunit ribosomal RNA", at positions 556 to 828 of the family's 1533-position model. Lineage: Bacteria; Pseudomonadati; Pseudomonadota; Gammaproteobacteria; Legionellales; Legionellaceae. The record is from RNAcentral.
GGGCGUAAAGCGUGCGCAGGCGGUUUGGUAAGUCAGAUGUGAAAUCCCCGAGCUCAACUUGGGAACUGCGUUUGAAACUACCAGACUAGAAUAUGUCAGAGGGGGGUAGAAUUCCACGUGUAGCAGUGAAAUGCGUAGAGAUGUGGAGGAAUACCAAUGGCGAAGGCAGCCCCCUGGGAUAAUAUUGACGCUCAUGUACGAAAGCGUGGGGAGCGAACAGGAUUAGAUACCCUGGUAGUCCACGCCCUAAACGAUGUCAACUAGCUGUUGGAA